Oncorhynchus tshawytscha (Chinook salmon) is the source of this 1098-nucleotide long non-coding RNA. Lineage: Eukaryota; Metazoa; Chordata; Actinopteri; Salmoniformes; Salmonidae. The record is from Ensembl.
CGUGACUGAGAACGAGGCUGCUGGCAGACCCCUUAGUCAAACAGCUCUCAUCUGGCCCCCCUUCACAGGAGUAGCCUGAAACAAUGUUCUAAAGAUGGUUGACAUCUAGUGGAAGCCUUAGGAAGUGCAAAAUAACCCAUAUCCCACUGUGUAUUCGAUAGGGGUGAGUUAAAAAACUACAAACCUCAGAUUUCCCACUUCCUGGUUGGAUUUUUUCUCAGGUUUUUGCCUGCCAUAUGAGUUCUGUUAUACUCACAGACAUCAUUCAAACACUUUUAGAAACUUCAGAGUGUUUUCUAUCCAAUACUAAUAAUAAUAUGCAUAUAUUAGCAUCUUGGACUGAGUAGAAGGCAGUUUACUCUGGGCAAACUAUUCAUCCAAAGUGAAAAUACUGCCCCCUAUCCCACAGAAGUUUUAAGAAACGUUCCCCAACAGAAUUGGAGGAAUGAAUACGCCCCUGAUCACACACAAACACAGUUCACUUUCAUAGCAGCAGUGCUUAAUUUGAGCCCGAUCGUCACCUCUCCGUUUUGGACUGUUUUGUUCCAUUUUUUGGCCGGAUCUGGUACCUUUUCAUGGCAUGAAAAAUAAUGAUCACUUUUUGCAAUGUAAAAAUUUAAAUAAACACAAUCAAAGUCCAUUCUCGUUGCCUCUUCCUUAUUUCUCCUGCCCCCCUGCAUCUGUCACAGAACUAGAAUGAGAUUCACUUUCUGUGAUCUCUCUCCCUCUGCUCUGAUAGACAUGAGCCUGCAACUCUCGUGGCACUUCAUAAUUGAUUUCCUCAUAGAACAAUAGCCACGUGAGGGGUUCUGCAGCAUGCAUUAGAAAUUGAAAGAAAUUUGUCUGUUCAAAAAAAAAAAAAAAUCAGAAUAGCCUACUACACCAUUAGCAAGCCUAAACUUUUGCCAUAGAGGAUAAAUUGCUUAUUUUUAAUAGCCUAGUUGUGGAGUGUAGCCCAAUUACAAGGCAUAGCAUACAGUCGGGAAGUUGUUUUCAUUGAUCUCAGAUUCUCAGUUUGUCAGUGUCAAAGUAGUCUGGCAUUUGAUCAUUUGUGCGGUAUUAAAGGUGCUUUCAAGAUGACUGGAAACACGGGAAAAA